This 426-nucleotide ribosomal RNA is filed under the name uncultured bacterium. RNAcentral's name for it is "bacterial SSU rRNA". It matches the Rfam family "Bacterial small subunit ribosomal RNA", at positions 355 to 773 of the family's 1533-position model. The record is from RNAcentral.
UGGGGAAUUUUGGACAAUGGGGGCAACCCUGAUCCAGCAAUGCCGCGUGUGUGAAGAAGGCCUUCGGGUUGUAAAGCACUUUUGUCCGGAAAGAAAUCCUCUGGGUUAAUACCUCGGGGGGAUGACGGUACCGGAAGAAUAAGCACCGCCUAACUACGUGCCAGCAGCCGCGGUAAUACGUAGGGUGCGAGCGUUAAUCGGAAUUACUGGGCGUAAAGCGUGCGCAGGCGGUUCGCUAAGACCGAUGUGAAAUCCCGGGGCUUAACCUGGGAACUGCAUUGGUGACUGGCGAGCUAGAGUGUGGCAGAGGGGGGUAGAAUUCCACGUGUAGCAGUGAAAUGCGUAGAGAUGUGGAGGAAUACCGAUGGCGAAGGCAGCCCCCUGGGCUAACACUGACGCUCAUGCACGAAAGCGUGGGGAGCAAAC